RNAcentral lists this ribosomal RNA (252 nucleotides) under uncultured bacterium. RNAcentral's name for it is "partial 16S ribosomal RNA". It matches the Rfam family "Bacterial small subunit ribosomal RNA", at positions 524 to 775 of the family's 1533-position model. The record is from RNAcentral.
UACAGAGGUGGCAAGCGUUGUUCGGAAUUACUGGGCGUAAAGGGCGCGUAGGCGGCCAUCUAAGUCAGACGUGAAAUCCCCCGGCUUAACCUGGGAACUGCGUCUGAUACUGGACGGCUGGAGUUUGGGAGAGGGAUGUAGAAUUCCAGGUGUAGCGGUGAAAUGCGUAGAUAUCUGGAGGAAUACCGGUGGCGAAGGCGGCAUCCUGGACCAAUACUGACGCUGAGGCGCGAAAGCUAGGGGAGCAACGGG